AAUAUAUAAGUAGAAUAUGUGUGUGUGUGUAUGUAUGUGUGUGUGUAUAUAUAUAUAUACACACACACACACACACACACACACACACAUAUAUAAUACG
Molecule: microRNA precursor, 100 nt
Filed under: Pelobates cultripes (western spadefoot toad)
Lineage: Eukaryota; Metazoa; Chordata; Amphibia; Anura; Pelobatidae
Source: RNAcentral